GAUUGUCCUACAGAUCACGCCUACACGAAUAUAUUGUCAGAUAUUGUCGCCAUUGAACACGUGUAUACUCAUCAUCUCGCGUGUAGAGGACACGAGCCAGAGAUCAUCGAGUAUCGUGGAUCACGUUUCAUGAACACGCGUCCUAUAC
This 148-nucleotide long non-coding RNA is filed under the name Polistes fuscatus (common paper wasp). RNAcentral's name for it is "uncharacterized LOC122523106". The record is from RNAcentral. Lineage: Eukaryota; Metazoa; Arthropoda; Insecta; Hymenoptera; Vespidae.